GUUGGUGACCAGCGGAGGGAUCAUUACCGAGUUUACAACUCCCAAACCCCUGUGAACAUACCUAUUGUUGCCUCGGCGGUGCCUGUUCCGACAGCCCGCCAGAGGACCCCAAACCCUGAUUACAUUAAAGAAUUCUUCUGAGUAACCGAUUAAAUAAAUCAAAACUUUCAACAACGGAUCUCUUGGUUCUGGCAUCGAUGAAGAACGCAGCGAAAUGCGAUAAGUAAUGUGAAUUGCAGAAUUCAGUGAAUCAUCGAAUCUUUGAACGCACAUUGCGCCCGCUAGUAUUCUGGCGGGCAUGCCUGUUCGAGCGUCAUUUCAACCCUCAAGCCCCCGGGCUUGGUGUUGGGGAUCGGCGAGCCUCCGCGCCCGCCGUCCCCUAAAUCUAGUGGCGGUCUCGCUGUAGCUUCCUCUGCGUAGUAGCACACCUCGCACUGGGAAACAGCGCGGCCACGCCGUUAAACACCCAACUUCUGAAAGUUUGACCUCGGAUCAGGUAGGAAUACCCGCUGAACUUAAGCAUAUC
This 526-nucleotide ribosomal RNA is filed under the name Dactylonectria macrodidyma. RNAcentral's name for it is "eukaryotic LSU rRNA". The stretch from base 163 to 316 matches the Rfam family "5.8S ribosomal RNA". Lineage: Eukaryota; Fungi; Ascomycota; Sordariomycetes; Hypocreales; Nectriaceae. The record is from RNAcentral.